UACGGGGGGAGCAAGCGUUGUUCGGAUUUACUGGGCGUAAAGGGCGCGUAGGCGGUAGCACAAGUCAGUUGUGAAAUCUCCGGGCUUAACUCGGAAAGGUCAACUGAUACUGUGCGACUAGAGUGCAGAAGGGGCAACUGGAAUUCUCGGUGUAGCGGUGAAAUGCGCAGAUAUCAGGAAGAACACCAGUGGCGAAGGCGGCUCACUGGCCCGGUACUGACGCUGAGGUGCGAAAGCGUGGGGAGCAAACAGG
This 253-nucleotide ribosomal RNA is filed under the name uncultured bacterium. RNAcentral's name for it is "partial 16S ribosomal RNA". It matches the Rfam family "Bacterial small subunit ribosomal RNA", at positions 524 to 776 of the family's 1533-position model. The record is from RNAcentral.